This 296-nucleotide long non-coding RNA is filed under the name Setaria viridis. RNAcentral describes it as "long non-coding RNA (SVIR_LNC004548)". The record is from RNAcentral. Lineage: Eukaryota; Viridiplantae; Streptophyta; Magnoliopsida; Poales; Poaceae.
GCACAUGUCUCCACAUGUGUCCACAUUAUUAGUUCAAGAUCUCCAUGUCCAUGACUUGUGAAACAUAGUCAUCAACUAAUACAUGUGCUAGUCUAAUAUUCAUGUGUGUCCUCACAUGAACUCCGACUAGGGACAACUUUAGAAUAACCAUACAAGUAAAGAGUUUCACAUACAAUUCACAUAAUUGCAAAUCAAUUCAAGUACCCUUUAAUGGAUAUUCAAUGAACACAAAAUACAAAUCAUGGAUACAAAUGGAACAUCAUCAUCUCUAUGAUUGCCUCCAGGGCAUACCUCCA